RNAcentral lists this ribosomal RNA (1351 nucleotides) under metagenome. RNAcentral's name for it is "bacterial LSU rRNA". It matches the Rfam family "Bacterial large subunit ribosomal RNA", at positions 1564 to 2925 of the family's 2925-position model. The record is from RNAcentral.
UGAGUGCGAGCUGCUACGGCAGCGAAGUUGGUGAUGUCAUGCUUCCAAGAAAAGCCCUAUACCCGUUAAGGCAUCAUGGCCUGUACCCGAAACCGACACAGGUGGGGUGGUAGAGAAUACCGAGGGGCGCGAGGUAACUCUCUCUAAGGAACUCGGCAAAAUGGCCCCGUAACUUCGGGAGAAGGGGUGCCACCGCAAGGUGGUCGCAGUGAAGAGGCCCAGGCGACUGUUUACCAAAAACACAGGUCUCCGCUAAGUCGCAAGACGAUGUAUGGGGGCUGACGCCUGCCCAGUGCCGGAAGGUUAAGGAAGCUGGUCAGCGCAAGCGAAGCUAGCGACUGAAGCCCCGGUGAACGGCGGCCGUAACGAUAACGGUCCUAAGGUAGCGAAAUUCCUUGUCGGGUAAGUUCCGACCCGCACGAAAGGCGUAACGAUCUGGGCGCUGUCUCGGAGAGAGGCUCGGCGAAAUAGAGUUGUCUGUGAAGAUGCGGACUACGUGCACCCGGACAGAAAGACCCUAUGAAGCUUUACUGUAGCUUGGUAUUGUGCCCGGGCUCGCAAUGCGCAGGAUAGGUGGGAGGCUUUGAUCAUCGGCUUGCGGGUCGAUGUGAGCCAACGGUGAGAUACCACUCUUUGCGAGCUAGGGUUCUAACGGCCACCCGUAAUCCGGGGGCCGGACAGUACCUGGUGGGCAGUUUGACUGGGGCGGUCGCCUCCUAAAAGGUAACGGAGGCGCGCAAAGGUUUGCUCAGGCUGGUUGGAAAUCAGCCGACGAGUGUAAAAAGCAGAAGCAAGCUUGACUGUGAGACCAACAAGUCGAACAGGGAGGAAACUCGGCUUUAGUGAUCCGACGGUUCUGAGUGGAAGGGCCGUCGCUCAACGGAUAAAAGUUACUCUAAGGAUAACAGGCUGAUCUCCCCCAAGAGUUCACAUCGACGGGGAGGUUUGGCACCUCGAUGUCGGCUCAUCGCAACCUGGGGCUGAAGUCGGUCCCAAGGGUUGGGCUGUUCGCCCAUUAAAGCGGUACGCGAGCUGGGUUCAGAACGUCGUGAGACAGUUCGGUCCAUAUCCGGUGCACGCGCAGGAAUAUUGAGAGGAUUUCUCCCUAGUACGAGAGGACCGGGAGGAACGCACCUCUGGUGUACCAGUUAUCGUGCCAACGGUAAACGCUGGGUAGCCAUGUGCGGAGUGGAUAACCGCUGAAAGCAUCUAAGUGGGAAGCCCACCUCAAGAUGAGUAUUCCCAUGGCGUAAGCCAGUAAGGUCACGGGAAGAACACCCGUUGAUAGGCUCUAUGUGGAAGCGCAGUAAUGCGUGAAGCAGAGGAGUACUAAUAGACCGAGGGCUUGACC